CGUUAUGGCGGGCCGUGCGUGGGACACCUUCGGGUGUGCCGGGACCCUGUACCCCGGUCGGCCAACCCGCGUACGGUUCGUCACCCUC
RNAcentral lists this non-coding RNA (88 nucleotides) under Nocardioides sp. IMT03. Lineage: Bacteria; Bacillati; Actinomycetota; Actinomycetes; Propionibacteriales; Nocardioidaceae. The record is from RNAcentral.